CAUGUACCCAGCCCCCCAUGCUUCAUUCAGGGCCAGGCCUUCAGUCCUUGGGGUUUUCUGCUGGGUUGGGGCAGUAUCUUUCAGAGAUAAAGAAUGGGAAACUUUUGGAAGCUUCUGUUACCCAAAUGUAUACUUUCUGGGACAGGAUCCACCUCUAAGUUCUACAGUCAGGGUCUGGAGUCCAUACCUCAGCUCUGCAAUGAGAACAGAGUCUUCAGGGAAGAAAAUCGAAGACUUCAGGCUCAACUGAGUCAUGUUUCCAGAGAGCACUCCCAAGAAACGGAAAGCCUGAGGGAGGCUCUGCUGUCCUCUCGAUCCCAUCUUCAAGAGCUGGAAAAGGAGCUGGAGCACCAGAAGGUGGAAAGGCAGCAGCUUUUGGAAGACUUGAGGGAGAAGCAGCAAGAGGUCUUGCGUUUCAGGGAGGAACGUCUUUCCCUCCAGGAAAACGACUCCAGACUGCAGCACAAGCUGGUUCUCCUGCAGCAACAGUGUGAAGAGAAACAGCAGCUCUUUGAGUCCCUCCAGUCAGAGCUACAAAUCUAC
Molecule: long non-coding RNA, 543 nt
Filed under: Gorilla gorilla gorilla (western lowland gorilla)
Lineage: Eukaryota; Metazoa; Chordata; Mammalia; Primates; Hominidae
Description: lncRNA (ENSGGOG00000044327.1)
Source: RNAcentral